GAUGAACGCUGGCGGCGUGCCUAAUACAUGCAAGUCGAACGCUGAAGGAGGAGCUUGCUCUUCUGGAUGAGUUGCGAACGGGUGAGUAACGCGUAGGUAACCUGCCUGGUAGCGGGGGAUAACUAUUGGAAACGAUAGCUAAUACCGCAUGACAACAGUUAUUGCAUGAUAACUGUUUAAAAGGGGCAACUGCUCCACUACCAGAUGGACCUGCGUUGUAUUAGCUAGUUGGUGAGGUAACGGCUCACCAAGGCGACGAUACAUAGCCGACCUGAGAGGGUGAUCGGCCACACUGGGACUGAGACACGGCCCAGACUCCUACGGGAGGCAGCAGUAGGGAAUCUUCGGCAAUGGACGGAAGUCUGACCGAGCAACGCCGCGUGAGUGAAGAAGGUUGUCGGAUCGUAAAGCUCUGUUGUAAGAGAAGAACGAGUGUGAGAGUGGAAAGUUCACACUGUGACGGUAUCUUACCAGAAAGGGACGGCUAACUACGUG
Molecule: ribosomal RNA, 495 nt
Filed under: uncultured bacterium
Lineage: Bacteria
Description: partial 16S ribosomal RNA
Rfam family: Bacterial small subunit ribosomal RNA
Source: RNAcentral